RNAcentral lists this ribosomal RNA (403 nucleotides) under bacterium. RNAcentral describes it as "partial 16S ribosomal RNA". It matches the Rfam family "Bacterial small subunit ribosomal RNA", at positions 355 to 776 of the family's 1533-position model. The record is from RNAcentral.
UGGGGAAUAUUGCACAAUGGAGGGAACUCUGAUGCAGCGACGCCGCGUGAACGAAGAAGGCUUUCGAGUCGUAAAGUUCUUUUAUAUGGGAAGAUAAUGACGGUACCAUAAGAAGAAGCCCCGGCUAACUACGUGCCAGCAGCCGCGGUAAUAUGUAGGGGGCUAGCGUUGUCCGGAAUCACUGGGCGUAAAGGGUUCGCAGGCGGAAAUGCAAGUCAGGUGUAAAAGGCAGUAGCUUAACUACUGUAAGCAUUUGAAACUGCAUAUCUUGAGAAGAGUAGAGGUAAGUGGAAUUUUUAGUGUAGCGGUGAAAUGCGUAGAUAUUAAAAAGAAUACCGGUGGCGAAGGCGACUUACUGGGCUCAUUCUGACGCUGAGGAACGAAAGCGUGGGUAGCAAACAGG